RNAcentral lists this ribosomal RNA (1400 nucleotides) under Dioscorea cayenensis subsp. rotundata (Guinea yam). Its description in RNAcentral is "bacterial SSU rRNA". It matches the Rfam family "Bacterial small subunit ribosomal RNA". Lineage: Eukaryota; Viridiplantae; Streptophyta; Magnoliopsida; Dioscoreales; Dioscoreaceae. The record is from RNAcentral.
AGAGUCUGAUCCUGGCUCAAGAUGAACACUGGCGGCAUGCUUAACACAUGCAAGUCGAACGAGAUAUGGUUUUUCCAAUGAUAGAUUGGUGAGGAAGGCGUAAGAACCUACCCUUGGGAGGGGAACAAUAUCUAGAAACGGUUGUUAAUACCCCAUAGGCUAAGGAACAAAAGGAGGAAUCUGCCCAAGGAGGGGCUCGCGUCUGAUUAGCUAGUUGGUAAGGCAAAGGCUUACCAAAGCGAUGAUCAGCAGCUGGUCCAAGAGGAUGGUCAGCCACACUAGGACUAAGACACGAUCCAGACUCCUACAGGUAGCAGCAGUGGAGAAUUUUCCUUGUUGUGUGAAAGCCUGAUUGAGUAAUGUUGUGUAGAGGUAGAAGGCCCACAGGUCAUGAACUUCUUUUCUUAGAGAAGAUGCAAUGGUGGUAUUUGAGGAAUAAGCAUCGACUAACUCUGUGCCAACAGCCAUGGUAAGGCAGAGUAUUAUCUGGAAUAAUUGGGUGUAAAGCAUAUGUAGGUGGCUUUUUAUGCUAGGGCUCAACCCUGGACAUGUAGUGGAAACUACAAAGCUGGAGUGUGAUUGGGGCAGAGGGAAUUUUUGGUAGAGCGAUGAAAUGCGUAGUGAUCGGAAAAAACAUCAACAACAAAAGCCCUAUCAUGGGCCGACACUGACACUAAUAGAUGAAAGCUAGGAGAGCAAAUGGGAUUAGAUGCCCCAGUAGUCCUAGCUAUAAACGAUGGGUACUAGGCGUUGUGCCUAUCGACCCAGCCAAUAUUGUAGCUAAUGCAUUAAGAAUCCUACCUUGGGAAUAUGUUUGCAAGAAUGAAACUUGAAGGAAUUGGCGGGGGCUUGUACAAGUGGUGGAGCAUGUAGUUUAAUUCGAUGUAAAAUGAAGAACCUUACCAGGGCUUGACAUGUCGCUAAUCCUCUUGAAAGAGAGGUGUGCCCUCUGGAACGCGGACACAAGAGGUGCAUGGAUGUCGUUAGCUCAUGCCGUAAGAUGUUGGGUUAAGUCCCAUAACAAGAGCAACCCUUAUGUUUAGUUGCCACCAUUGAGUUUGGAACCUUGAACAGACUGCUGGUGAUAAGCCGGAGGAAGGUGAGAAUGAUGACAAGUCAUCAUGCCCCUAAUGGGGCGACACACGUGUUAUAAUGGGCAUGACAAAAGGUCGUGAUCUCGCAAGGAUGAGCUAACUCUAAAAACCCAUUCUUAGUUUGGAUUACAGGCUGUAACUUGCUUGCAUGAAGUUAGAAUCACUAGUAAUCACCAAUCAGCCAUAUGGUGAUGAAUUCAUCCCUAGGCCUUGUACACACCGCCCAUUACACUAUAUAUGGAAGCUGGCCAUGCCCAAAGUUGUUACCUUAACCGCAAGGAGGGGGAUGCCAAAGGCGAGACUAGU